This 92-nucleotide transfer RNA is filed under the name Streptomyces turgidiscabies. RNAcentral describes it as "tRNA-Cys". Lineage: Bacteria; Bacillati; Actinomycetota; Actinomycetes; Kitasatosporales; Streptomycetaceae. The record is from RNAcentral.
GGGUCCGUACAGGGCGGCCGGCUGCUGGGUCUGCAGUGCCCAGUACCGGUCGCCGAACGACCAGUGCCACCAUUCGGUUCGGUACGGGACCA